CCAAAUUUCUCCCACCGGCCGCCGCGUUCCCCUUCCCGUCCGAGAGCCACACCACCCCGAUGCUCCAGCUCGCGGGGCUCCUCCGCGCGCGGGGCGUUCGUCUCCAUCCGCGAGUCCCUCCCCGACGAGGUCGCCGCCAGCCCCGAGGCCUUCCUCUCUCCACUCCUCCCCUGCCGCCGCCAGCCCACGUCUGCUUUCUGCUCUCCACCGCUGGCCACUCCAUCUCCUCCAAGAACCCAACAGCAGCAACGCACGGCGCCUCAUUUUCCCUCCCUAAUUUCUCCCACGAAGAAGCUAGCAGCUGCAACCCUUGCUGCUCUCUCUGAUUUUCCCUCUCGGUGAAGUAAUCACCCUGCUCUUUCUUCAAUCGGAGCUGAGCAAGCAAACCAGAGCUGCACCACGCCGAUAUCGAGCGGAGCAAGGAGGAGGACAAGGAGCAGCUGCCAGAAGCAACGACGCCGACAGCCUGACACCACCACGCCGCCGUUCACCCUCGAGCUGCGGCCGUCCUCACUGCCGGGAACCUCCACACCGAGCAGCACAAGCAUGGGAGUCGACGCCGCUCGUGACGGGAAGCCGGCGCCCCACCUCCCUUCCGGCGAGCCGCGGCCGGCGUGACCUCCGCCGCGGGCCAGCGGCCGGCGCGAGCUCCGCCACGAGGGCGGGCGCGGGCGCGGCUCCGGCGAGCCCCUCCCUGCACGGCCUUGGGAUCUCAUCCUGGCGCAUUGACUAGAGGAAGAAGAAGAUACAAUCUAUGGAUGACAUAUCGGACCCACUUGUAAUUGAGGGGACUUCUUCAAAAGUCACAACAGUUUAAUCAAACGGCUUCCAACCAUCCCACAGCAGCUUUGUUAAAGUUAUUUUUUGUAAAGUCACAGCCAACAGCAGCUUUUGGUAAAGCCACAGCCCAACCAAACACACCCUUACUGCAUUUGUAUACUAACAUCUCCAGUCAACUUCUGACAUACGGCAAGAACAAAUGAUCCUGUAAAGGAAUAGUGGUGUUCUAGAAUGUUUGUAAUUGAUAAUCACAAAAAUAAUUACUGUAACAAAUAAGGUCUAAUCAAUAAAUUGCAAUAAAACUGGUGUUCAAAAACAUUACCACUUUUAUAUGGGUGAUGUAUAUUCUUGUGAACUUCAGAUAAUAUACAUCGUGAUAUGUUCGCUUAUUCUUAAGAUACUUCCAUUAUGCAUUUCAUCUUUUUGGUCUGAAAUUUUGUCAGAGAACCUCUGGUUAUUAAUUUGAGAGCAAAGAUAUGCUUCCUAUAAUAAUUCUUUAGUUGGUCUCACGAAAGAAUAUGACUUUAAACUUUAGUGACUGUAUAACUAGUACCAUGAAAGUCCAUGACUCCACGAGGUUCAUUGAACUGAUAAGUGAUUUCUUAUUCAAUUUGUUUUUCCAUUCUUUCCUAGUUGAGCUAAAUUCGUCUAUCACAUACCUUCUGUUCAUAUUUGCACCUGUCUGUCUGUAAUUACCUUAUUACCAUCCAGUAACCAUUUGUUUUAUUCCUUACAGUUUGGUGACCAAACCAAAAAUUUACGUUUGUUUUAUCCAUAACAAAUUUGGUCACCUUCCAAUAGAAAUUGUUGCAUAUAUCAAUAGAUGAAAAGAUGUUGAGAUCCUACUCCCAGUAACUUGACAUAUUCCAUUUGUGCGUGAUUGGAGCGAUGAUGGGAUAAUAAGUUAUGUGAAAUCAAUGCUAUGGGUGGAGGUAUAACAUGAAGAGUCACUGUCCAUUUAAGUUCCCUUUUAUUUCUGUGUUAACUUUGGCUAUAUAUGGCAAUACAUAACUUCCUAUCUAUAGGUUCUUCAAUGCAUCCCCUUAAGCUUAAAGCGGGCACUAAUAAUUAUGGACAUCCAUCCAUUCUCCUGAAAUGAAUUGAAGAAGCAUCAUUAAGUUUAGUUUGGUUUGUAAACUAAGUAAUCGAUUAUGAAAUCAUGCUGAUGAUUGAAGUGAAUCAAUAGGAUUUUUAGACUGGAGAUUUUUUUUUAAAAAAAAUGUUUCUGUGUCCUUCUCAAGUAGCUCAUGCAAGGGUAGAACUCAUAUCUCUUUUGCUUUCAUGUUCUCAUUCCUUGUGCCAAAUGUUUUAUUUUUAUGUUUCAGGAUAACUCAGUGAAAACUGCUGAAAGUUACAAGGAUGCAGGGCAUACAAGAGAAAAGAUUAUCUUAUUGCAGAAUGGAUGCAGCACGAUGGUUGGGCAAAGGCCUGCUAUCUGGAAGGAGCUGCCCAGAUGUUACUCAAGGGAUGCCGCAUGAAGACAUCUCACGGGCAUCUAGUCAGAAUUACCUUUUGCCAAGGAGACACAUUUGCCCAGGAGUGUCAUGACUUUUGCUAGUUCUCAUCAGUGCACAACAGGGCUGCUGGACAUGUAGGUUUGAAGUCAUAACACAUGACCUUAACUUAGUUUUGACAUGCGCGGAGUCUUAAUGCUACCGAAUAUCGAUAAAUCAAUCCGAAUAUCAAUAUAUCAAUCAGUUUCUAGUAGUGGGA
Long non-coding RNA from Panicum virgatum (switchgrass), 2493 nucleotides. RefSeq lists it as uncharacterized. The transcript has 3 exons. NCBI's taxonomy places the organism in Eukaryota, Viridiplantae, Streptophyta, Magnoliopsida, Poales, Poaceae. The record is from RefSeq and is a predicted model, not a curated record.